UCCAUCAGAAACAAAGUGAACUCUGGGAUUUCUACACUUCCUGUUUUUCUGCUGUGAUUUCAUCACUCGUCACAGUUUGUUCUGAACGUGUGAGUGAAACAUCCUGUCAUGUUGUCACCAGCUCUGUUACCUUUGUGUGUUUUUUUUAAGACUCAAACAACAUUUUCUAUGUUUGGUGAAAGUGGGCGGAGUCUAAUUCAUUGACUUGUAUAUAUGUUCUUGUGUUGAGACGUUGUUGAGACGUUUGUCUGCAGAAAUAUAAACACGUUCACUUCCCAUCGUCACAUUCUUCACACGAACAGGAACAUAAAGACAGAGUCACACAGCCUUCACUCAUUCAUACAACUGUCAGUGAACGGGUGAACCAGUGAACGGGUGAACGAGACGACUG
This is a long non-coding RNA of Solea senegalensis (Senegalese sole), 391 nucleotides long. RefSeq lists it as uncharacterized. The transcript has 2 exons. The record is from RefSeq and is a predicted model, not a curated record. Lineage: Eukaryota; Metazoa; Chordata; Actinopteri; Pleuronectiformes; Soleidae.